GGCGGUUUUGAGUCUUACCAAAGUCGAUUUUCAAAGUCUGAAAAUCAAAAUGGGUCCGGUAAUGAAUUUGUGCAAACUUCAAAAAGAGAAUUCUGUAACAGGGUAGUAUAUCGUGACUCAAAACCCGAAGUCUGAUGAUCGCAUGGACACUUCAGAAAAGGACUUAUCAACACAAAUGGAAGCCUUUGAAAAUGAGACAUUAAUGCUUAAUGCAACAUCGACUGUUAUUUAUUCGACACGGUUUUCGAACUAUGAUAGCGUUCGAUUAACACUGGAGAACAACCCGUAAGGAUUUAUAGUCUUAUACGCAAUAGAGAACGGCACAUUCGGGGGACAGACAAGAAAAAUGAUGGUGUGAAUACUGGUAGCAGCUCUUAUUGCACGUUAUAGUAACUGCUAGGUUAUUCAAUUAAAACUGAUUUUAUCUCUGAUAGAGGUUAUCCCCGCGAUGAAUCUAAGUGGAAUUUAGCUAAAGCAAUUAUUGCUGAGUUUCCAUUUUUAAAAAGCAAUUUGGAAAAAUCUAGAUGCGAGCAUUAUUUUGACUGACAAACUAGGAAAGUAUUUCUAGAAACACGCUUAUGGAAUGCUCGAAAGAAGAUACCCGAAUCUGACAAAAAUACUGCAAAACUAAAAAGAAGAAGCCCUGUCCUGAGUCAACCGAAAAGUACCCGGAUAUGAAAAUUCUGAAUGAAGAAGGUUUAAACUGCAAAGCAUAUUUAAUGGAAUACAAGAUGCCAAAUGAUGCAGAAAAAGAGAGCAUUAUCAUGUUGCUCAAACAAACUUUUAAGAAUAGGAGAGAGUGGAUUUUAAAGAAGUCAUCGACUAUCACAGAAAUUCGCGAGAAAUACCCUAGACUUUUUG
Belonocnema kinseyi is the source of this 861-nucleotide long non-coding RNA. RefSeq lists it as uncharacterized. Lineage: Eukaryota; Metazoa; Arthropoda; Insecta; Hymenoptera; Cynipidae. The transcript has 6 exons. The record is from RefSeq and is a predicted model, not a curated record.